RNAcentral lists this small RNA (245 nucleotides) under Salmonella enterica subsp. enterica serovar Typhi. Its description in RNAcentral is "StyR-29". Lineage: Bacteria; Pseudomonadati; Pseudomonadota; Gammaproteobacteria; Enterobacterales; Enterobacteriaceae. The record is from RNAcentral.
AUCACUACGCAACGAGUGCUGCAAUUUAAACGGCGCUUAUUUGCACAAAUCCAUUGACAAAAGAAGGCUAAAAGGGCAUAUUCCUCGGCCUUUGAAUUGUCCAUAUAGAACACAUUUGGGAGUUGGACCUUGGCUAAUAUCAAAUCAGCUAAGAAGCGCGCCGUUCAGUCUGAAAAGGCUCGUAAGCACAACGCAAGCCGUCGCUCUAUGAUGCGUACUUUCAUCAAGAAAGUAUACGCAGCUAU